This 22-nucleotide non-coding RNA is filed under the name Mus musculus (house mouse). Lineage: Eukaryota; Metazoa; Chordata; Mammalia; Rodentia; Muridae. The record is from RNAcentral.
UAAAGAUGGACCCACGCAGCAG